AAAACAGAAAGGGAAAGAAGCAGCAGCAGCACAACUCCUGUUCGUCCAACCUCUCAUGCUGACUGUCGACUGUCUUUCCGUUCAUAUUUCAUCAGAAUCUCUCUCCUCUUUCUCACGGUACCAGUUCAAUGGAGUAGGUACCAAUUCAAUAAAGUAUCUUGCAUACGUGAUGAAUUAAGCACUUUUUAAAGGUUAAGGUAGAUAGCAAGUUGUGGACUGAAUGGGUUUCAAGAAUAACUAUGGAGAAUCAAGUGGUGUCUAAUGGUUUGUAUUUAUUAUACUUGUACCCUUAGAAGUUUUGGGAUUAUCUUAUUUAUUCUACGCUUCCGCACACUUGGAAUUCUAUGGUUUAAAAAGACGAUGAUGUUAGAAAUCUCUAAACUAGAUUAUGAGCAGG
Molecule: long non-coding RNA, 397 nt
Organism: Rhododendron vialii
Lineage: Eukaryota; Viridiplantae; Streptophyta; Magnoliopsida; Ericales; Ericaceae
Exons: 3
Source: RefSeq, a predicted model, not a curated record